This 463-nucleotide ribosomal RNA is filed under the name uncultured bacterium. RNAcentral's name for it is "partial 16S ribosomal RNA". It matches the Rfam family "Bacterial small subunit ribosomal RNA", at positions 28 to 507 of the family's 1533-position model. The record is from RNAcentral.
GACGAACGCUGGCGGCGUGCUUAACACAUGCAAGUCGAGCGGUAAGGCCCUUCGGGGUACACGAGCGGCAAACGGGUGAGUAACACGUGAGUAAUCUGCCCAUCACUUCGGGAUAACUCCGGGAAACCGGUGCUAAUACCGAAUAUGACCACUUCAGGCAUCUGAUGGUGGUGGAAAGUUCCGGCGGUGAUGGAUGAGCUCGCGGCCUAUCAGCUUGUUGGUGGGGUAGUGGCCUACCAAGGCUUCGACGGGUAGCCGGCCUGAGAGGGUGACCGGCCACACUGGGACUGAGACACGGCCCAGACUCCUACGGGAGGCAGCAGUGGGGAAUAUUGGACAAUGGGCGAAAGCCUGAUCCAGCAACGCCGCGUGAGGGAUGACGGCCUUCGGGUUGUAAACCUCUUUCAGCAGGGACGAAGCGCAAGUGACGGUACCUGCAGAAGAAGCACCGGCCAACUACGUG